This 395-nucleotide ribosomal RNA is filed under the name uncultured bacterium. Its description in RNAcentral is "bacterial SSU rRNA". It matches the Rfam family "Bacterial small subunit ribosomal RNA", at positions 505 to 898 of the family's 1533-position model. The record is from RNAcentral.
GUGUCAGCAGCCGCGGUAAUACGAAGGGUGCAAGCGUUACUCGGAAUUACUGGGCGUAAAGCGUGCGUAGGUGGUUGUUUAAGUCUGCUGUGAAAGCCCUGGGCUCAACCUGGGAAUUGCAGUGGAUACUGGGCAACUAGAGUGUGGUAGAGGAUAGUGGAAUUUCCGGUGUAGCAGUGAAAUGCGUAGAGAUCGGAAGGAACAUCUGUGGCGAAGGCGACUAUCUGGGCCAACACUGACACUGAGGCACGAAAGCGUGGGGAGCAAACAGGAUUAGAUACCCUGGUAGUCCACGCCCUAAACGAUGCGAACUGGAUGUUGGGCACAACUUGGUGCCCAGUAUCGAAGCUAACGCGUUAAGUUCGCCGCCUGGGGAGUACGGUCGCAAGACUGAA